UACCAGACUCCUACGGGAGGCAGCAGUGGGGGAUAUUGCACAAUGGGCGCAAGCCUUAUGCAGCGACGCCGCGUGAGCGAAGAAGUAUUUCGGUAUGUAAAGCUCUAUCAGCAGGGAAGAAAAUGACGGUACCUGACUAAGAAGCUCCGGCUAAAUACGUGCCAGCAGCCGCGGUAAUACGUAUGGAGCAAGCGUUAUCCGGAAUUACUGGGUGUAAAGGGAGCGUAGACGGCGGUGCAAGCCAGAUGUGAAAGCCCGGGGCUCAACCCCGGGACUGCAUUUGGAACUGUGCUGCUAGAGUGUCGGAGAGGCAGGCGGAAUUCCUAGUGUAGCGGUGAAAUGCGUAGAUAUUAGGAGGAACACCAGUGGCGAAGGCGGCCUGCUGGACGAUGACUGACGUUGAGGCUCGAAAGCGUGGGGAGCAAACAGGAUUAGAUACCCCGGUAAC
RNAcentral lists this ribosomal RNA (448 nucleotides) under uncultured bacterium. Its description in RNAcentral is "partial 16S ribosomal RNA". It matches the Rfam family "Bacterial small subunit ribosomal RNA", at positions 329 to 794 of the family's 1533-position model. The record is from RNAcentral.